GCAAGUCGAACGAUAUUUUGGUUCUUGCACCACUUGACAGUGGCGCACGGGUGAGUAACGCGUGGGAAAUUACCUUAGAGUGGGGGAUAACAGUUGGAAACGACUGCUAAUACCGCAUACGCCCUUCGGGGGAAAGAUUUAUUGCUCUAAGAUAUGCCCGCGUUAGAUUAGCUAGUUGGUGAGGUAAUGGCUCACCAAGGCGACGAUCUAUAGCUGGUUUGAGAGGAUGAUC
Molecule: ribosomal RNA, 232 nt
Filed under: uncultured bacterium
Lineage: Bacteria
Description: partial 16S ribosomal RNA
Rfam family: Bacterial small subunit ribosomal RNA
Source: RNAcentral